CCCAGACAGCCAGGAUGUUGGCUUAGAAGCAGCCAUCAUUUAAAGAAAGCGUAAUAGCUCACUGGUCGAGUCGGCCUGCGCGGAAGAUGUAACGGGGCUAAACCAUGCACCGAAGCUGCGGCAGCGAACGUAUCACUUAAAGCGAUUCAGCGGAUUACGAUUGACGGAGCGAAGCGACGUCAAAGCGUAUACAAAGUCGAGUCGGUUUAAGGAUACGUUCGUUGGGUAGGGGAGCGUUCUGUAAGCCUGUGAAGGUGGCCUGUGAGGGUUGCUGGAGGUAUCAGAAGUGCGAAUGCUGACAUAAGUAACGAUAAAGCGGGUGAAAAGCCCGCUCGCCGGAAGACCAAGGGUUCCUGUCCAACGUUAAUCGGGGCAGGGUGAGUCGACCCCUAAGGCGAGGCCGAAAGGCGUAGUCGAUGGGAAACAGGUUAAUAUUCCUGUACUUGGUGUUACUGCGAAGGGGGGACGGAGAAGGCUAUGUUGGCCGGGCGACGGUUGUCCCGGUUUAAGCGUGUAGGCUGGUUUUCCAGGCAAAUCCGGAAAAUCAAGGCUGAGGCGUGAUGACG
RNAcentral lists this ribosomal RNA (566 nucleotides) under Salmonella enterica subsp. enterica serovar Kentucky. RNAcentral's name for it is "partial 23S ribosomal RNA". It matches the Rfam family "Bacterial large subunit ribosomal RNA", at positions 1084 to 1571 of the family's 2925-position model. The record is from RNAcentral. Lineage: Bacteria; Pseudomonadati; Pseudomonadota; Gammaproteobacteria; Enterobacterales; Enterobacteriaceae.